AUGCAGUCGCCUUCCCAAAGCAGAGCGGGAGAUCACGAGGAAGGGAGCCUCGUGCAGUGUGUCUGCGAAUGGCACAAUCUGGUGCCAGAAGUAGGACCAGAAGCAAGAUGGCCUUCAGAAGGAAGUGACAUUCUUGGAACUGCUGUGUGGUGCCCGCCUGAGGCCUCUGAGCUCGUCGUUUCCACGGCCCACCUCUUCUGCCCACGUGCAUCUUCUCCCAGGCUGAGAGCCCUCCUUCCGGCAGAAGCUUGACUUCGCUCGGGAUCUGCCUUGGACGAGGCUGCCUUAAUAUAGGACCUCGCAUCCCUCCUGGGACCCCGCGAGGCUGGGUGGUUCUUUCUGGUCCUGGGGAGUGCUCUGGUUUGUUUGUUUCUGUGCAUCUGUAAGUGAUUAAGUGGUUUGGCUUUUUUUUACUUCUGCUCUCCCUGCUUGUUUCAAAAACAUCUUUAAAGAGCAAACAUCACAUACAGGGGUUAUACGAAUUUCUUUUUUCUUUCAAAAGUGCAGUAGGAGACAGAAUGGGAUUCUCAAAGUGUAAGGCACGCCCGGCUUUCAGGGGCUCAGCUGGUCAUACAUUCAAACAUUGUGGUCCUUUGUGCAUAUUUUAAGCCCAUGGAUAGAUGACACCAAGGGUGAUUUGGAAUUCCAGUGGCCAUUUGAGAAUCAUUCCAGCUCCCCAAACUGGUUUCCUAGAAGUACAUUAGAAAGCUGCAGCUAUUGGGUUAAACAGUCUGAAUGAGGCACAUAUUUUUAAUUGCCAUCUGGAGUCUUCAAAGUGCAUUCAGGACUUUAAAAAGGCCUCGCUGCAAAGUGCUGUCUCCACGCCAGCCAAGGCAGCUCCUUCCCAGAGCCCUUCCUUCCCCUUCCCACAGGGCGUCCUCCUCCUCCUUCUCUGGCUGACCUCCUCCUUCCCAGAGCCCUUCCUUCCCCCUCCCACAGGGCGUCCUCCUCCUCCUUCUCUGGCUGACCUCCCCACCCCCUUUAUUCAGAGCUCCCCAGCUUUUCUCCACGACCACCAAUUCAUCUUUUAACAUGUGGAACCUCUAGGGAAGUUCUAGAGGAAGGAAAUAAAGUAAUUAAAUACGCUAUUCUGGCGUGUUGACAAUUUAGUUAGAG
Molecule: long non-coding RNA, 1116 nt
Filed under: Macaca mulatta (Rhesus monkey)
Lineage: Eukaryota; Metazoa; Chordata; Mammalia; Primates; Cercopithecidae
Description: lncRNA (ENSMMUG00000049555.1)
Source: RNAcentral